RNAcentral lists this ribosomal RNA (386 nucleotides) under Aedes rubrithorax. RNAcentral's name for it is "eukaryotic LSU rRNA". The stretch from base 1 to 129 matches the Rfam family "5.8S ribosomal RNA", at positions 24 to 154 of the family's 154-position model. Lineage: Eukaryota; Metazoa; Arthropoda; Insecta; Diptera; Culicidae. The record is from RNAcentral.
GCUCGUGGAUCGAUGAAGACCGCAGCUAAAUGCGCGUCAAAAUGUGAACUGCAGGACACAUGUACACCGACAAGUUGAACGCAUAUUGCACACCGUACAACAGUACGAUGUACACAUUUUUGAGUGGCUAUAUUUAUCCAUUCAACUGUACCUGCGUGCGCGUCCCGUGCGUGCGCGAGGACAGUCGCAUCACGUACGCGUAGUGACGUUUUCCUGGCCCUCAGUAAAACGUUGAAGAUAAUCAGGCGCGCCCCACCCAGGUGCGGUUGAUGAAUACAUCCCUUAGACCAACGCGCUUGGUUAUGUUCUAUUUCAUCGGCAGGCCAGCCGGCCACCGCCACCCAGUAGACCUCAAAUAAUGUGUGACUACCCCCUAAAUUUAAGCA